CCCUACGGGACGCAGCAGUGGGGGAUAUUGCACAAUGGGGGGAACCCUGAUGCAGCGACGCCGCGUGGGUGAAGAAGCGCCUCGGCGCGUAAAGCCCUGUCAGCAGGGAAGAAAAUGACGGUACCUGAAGAAGAAGCCCCGGCUAACUACGUGCCAGCAGCCGCGGUAAUACGUAGGGGGCAAGCGUUAUCCGGAUUUACUGGGCGUAAAGGGGGCGCAGACGGCGAUGCAAGCCAGGAGUGAAAGCCCGGGGCCCAACCCCGGGACUGCUCUUAGAACUGCGUGGCUGGAGUGCUGGCGGGGCG
Molecule: ribosomal RNA, 305 nt
Filed under: uncultured bacterium
Lineage: Bacteria
Description: bacterial SSU rRNA
Rfam family: Bacterial small subunit ribosomal RNA
Source: RNAcentral